RNAcentral lists this small RNA (4816 nucleotides) under Rattus norvegicus (Norway rat). RNAcentral's name for it is "uncharacterized LOC102555173". The stretch from base 974 to 1042 matches the Rfam family "tRNA". Lineage: Eukaryota; Metazoa; Chordata; Mammalia; Rodentia; Muridae. The record is from RNAcentral.
UCCAGCCAGCUGGCUGGCUCAGAGCAGCAGCUCCUAUGCAAAAUGUAAAAGAAAAAAAAAACAACCUUUUCUGUAUCAGGAAGUUAACAUCAGUCGGGGGAAGCUGCGCUCUCUCUGGUUCUGCCUAGCGGGAAGUCUGGUGUAGAAGAAGCAAUCACCAGGUAAGGGAAUCUUCACUCCCUUUUUGACAUGGUAGAGGAUGGCUUGGAGUGUGUUCAGAGCACAGGCUGGAACCACACUGUCUGGGUUCAAAUCUGGAUCCUCCACUUACAAUGUUAGGAAUGACUGGGGACAAGCUAUUUAACCUCUCUGUGACUGUGUCCUCAUUCGCAAAUGGAAAUAAUAGUAGGACUUAUAUGCUAGGUUACGGUGAAGGCUAAUUGAGUUGACACAUAGAAAGUAUACCUAUCAGUGUUUGAUAUAUACAAACUCCAACAGUGGGGAAUGGGUUAUAUAAACUCUACAUAGCCAUUAAAAUAUCCAUAGUAGCUUGGAUAUACAUCCAUGAUCUAUUAUAAGUGAAAUUGGUUUUUAAAAAUGGCACCGUAUAUAUACCAUUAAAAAAGAAAAUAAAUCCAGGACAGAAAUGAGGUCUCCACAGUUGAGAACGCUAACUUUUCUCAUACAGGACCAGAGCAGCCACACCAGGCAGCUCUCGAACACCUCGAACUCCAGCUCCAAGGGAUUCAUACUCCUGUGCUUUCAUGAGCACUUGCACACAUGUGUCCAUAGGCACACGGAGACCCAGUACAUCUUUAAAGCGAGAAAGAAACCCAUUGAAAUGAAAAUAAUAAAGUAUGUACUCUUAUUAUAUAGCAAAAAGAUAUUUCUGUUUUCCAAAUACCCUGUAGUUUGUAUAUAUUAUGUAGGUAAUUAAAAAAACAAUAAAAGUUAUUCAGAAAGUGUUCAAAUGCAGUAGAUGUACAGUAGAUCCAGGUGAAAUAAUCCUGCUUUAAAACCAUAUCAACGGGUUGGAGAUUUAGCUCAUCGGUAGAGUACUUGCCUAGCAAGCACAAGGCCCUGGGUUCAGUCCCCAGCUCCAAAAAACAAACAAACAAACAAACAAACAAAAACCAUAUCAACACGAUCCCCCAGGGGCCUGGAUCAUUAAGGGCACCCGUGAGGCUAAGCCAUGAUCCACAUCACGAGCUUUAAGGGAACUCCAAUACGACCACCAAAAAGAAAAAAAUCCAUAACAUUGAAUGUUCUUGUGAGUGUGUUGCAUUUCGGCCCCUGCUUUCCGUGGGAUAGUCAAAAACUCUACCUACAGAGUCAGACCUGAAUCUUACCUAAACAAUAGCUGACCCUAAUACGUCAAAUUGCCUGCCCACUGCAUAAAAGCAAUGGGCUGAGCAAGGCUGUGCGUGCAGAGGGAGUCACUGGAGUUUUGAGCACAGGCGGGACAGGACAGGGUGGGGUAGCAUUCCUCCAGCCACUGACUCAGAGGUUUCAAGGAGGAAAUGCAAGCCUGGGGGCUAGUGAAAUAAAGGAAGAAGAUAAGCAUCACAUCCCUGUGCUCAUUUGUGGAGAAUGUGAUUGGGGAAAGGAAGGCAAUUCUGCCCCUGAACCACCAGCCUUAGUAAGUCACUACUCACCCUUGCAAGACUAUUACAACCCAGGUACCCUCAAUCUGGAAAGAGCACCAAACCCCAACCCCUGGACACCAGGGAUGCUAAUUCACCUCAUCUGGAGCCAAAUUGUAAAUAAGUAAGACCCCACCCCAGGCAUCCAGCAUCAGGGCUUCAGAUAGAAGUGACUAGUGAUACAUGGAAGCCUGCGUGACCAGAGAACAGGCAUUAGGAUGAAUCCAGAAGACAUUGCCAACAUCCUCCCUUGGCUUGGCCUCCCUCGCUUCCUCUGAUGCCUGUCAUUUUAUGUCUCCCUUUCCUGCAAUUUAGGCCAUAGUGGGUCCUUUGAGAGACGACAUAAUCUUUUUCUUCUCUGCAUGAGUAGCUUGUAAUUCUCUCUCCCUGGAGGACCAUUACACCCCACAGAUGUGAGGAACUGAGGAAGAAAACUAAAUGCUAGAAAAUUAGGAAGAAAGCUAAACGAGAGAAACUGGUUUCGUUUCCUGCUUUCAGGUGUCAGGGCCAUAGGGCCCUACCCCGUACACUUUAUUGUUGUCUCAAACUGCAUAGGUGACUGUAUAAAAGAGGCCAUCAUGAUAAUCUCUCAAACACCUGAACUGACUGGAAUUGCUUCUUUCUUCCCAAAGAAUAAAGGUGUCUGGGGUGGCCUUUGCUCUACACGGGACAGCCCAAGGCUCAGGCAGGAGGUAGGUGGCUGUUCUACUUCCCCAUGAGAGGUGACAGUGAUGACAGCAUUCCGACAUUUCUAGGAAUGCCCAUCGGGAUCUGCUUCCAAGCCUCAGGCUUGCGAAGGUAGGGAUCGCACGUUUUCUAUCAGGAGAACGGAGGGUAUCUUUUAAGAAGGUAUUUCUUCUGAAAAAUCUUUGAUAGUCUUUGUUUGGAAAUGUGGUGGGGGAGGGGGAGGGGUGCUGUGAGGAUGUCAGAGUUAUUUCUCUUCACAAGCAUGUAGUUCAUGGGGCAGAGAGAACAAGGGGUCUACAGAUGCCAAAGGAGAGUGGUUGGUAACGCUCGGCACUAGUGGUAACAGCAGGCCUGUGAAGUGGGAAUCAUGUGACUGCCAAACAGCCCACACUGCUUUAUGUCACAUCGCUUUUCUUGUCCUCUGGUCCUUCCCAGACUGUGGUCUGUUCAAAGCAUACCCACCAGGACAGUGGGACCAAGGAGUCGGCCAGACUGGGAAGUGGUUUGGAAAAAAUGCUAAAUUCUAAGUUGCUCUCUUGAGCUGCAGGAAGGCGGGACCGAGGUCUAUACAAGUGUUCGCUAGUGUCUCCCUGAACAUGGAACCGGCUCUCUUAGCUUAUUACGCGCUACGGUUUGAAUGUGUCUCCCAGGGGUUGGGGAUUUAGCUCAGUGGUAGAGCGCUUGCCUAGCAAGCGCAAGGCCCUGGGUUCGGUCCCCAGCUCCAAAAAAAAGAAAAGAAAAAGUGUCUCCCAAACACUGGGUUGGGAAGUUGAGCCUCACAGUCAUGUGUUAAUGGUAUCUGAAUAGAGCAUACCUGAGAGUAAUUAGGAAUAGAUAUAUACAUUCAUUCUGUGACUUUAUAAGAAGAGGAAGAGAGACCUGAGCUAACACACGCGCUCUCUCAUCACGUGAUGCCUCCUGCCCUAUCAUGACAGAGCAAGAAGAUGGGGCACUUGUACUGCCCACCUUCAGAGCUGUGAAAUAGUAAGUGUCUAUUCUUUAUAAAUUUCUUAUACAUUUCACAUAUCUGAAUACCUUAGGGUAUUCAGGGAUGGUUACAGAAAAUUGAUGAAAACAUCCUGUGUGUGGAUGUCUUAAACUAGAGGCAUUAAUUUAGGAUUAAUGGCUCAGUCAGUAGUCAGCCCUCCCUCUGUUUCUUUUUAGAACGGGAAGCCAGAAGAAGGGAGAUCCUUUCCUGUGCUAGAGAAAAGGGAAGGGUGGUUCACGGAAAUCCUACCGUGUUGUCUUAAAUGUCUCUGUUUAUUAUUUAGGGGAUGGUACACGAAAGAAAAAUCUUCAUCCUGAUAACUUGAUUCUCCUCUGUGUCCAGGAUGUCACUUCUUCUGUGAGAUCACAGAAGAAUCUUUUCCCUUGAUGGGCCACUGUGUAAUUAAAUCACAUAUCUACUUUACACAAGUAAUGCAGUUUUGAGAAAGGGAGUUAUGUAUAAAUUAUCUUUCUAUGCUCAAACCACAGAGUAAGUGAGCCCCAUGGAUGCUGUGUUUUCCUUUGCUUUUCAGAUGCUUUGGGGGUUACACUCAUAGCUUUAGAUACUCUUUAAAUAGAAAAGGAAAGACAGGCCAACUUAAUUAACAGUCUGAGUGUCUCAGAAUUCAGCCAACCAUACACAUGCACUCCUGGUAGGACAGGGAUUGGGAAGUGGGAAGAUAGAAACCAAGAAAGGCUGGCCAAGGGGCAGGCUCUUUCUCAAAACAAGCAGCCUUUUCCUUCUGCCUUCGCAAUGGCUGGAGGCCCUGGAUCUGAAUGGAAAACCUAGCAAGCAGGAUUUUGCUAUCCCUGACAUACAGCGAGAGCCAGGGAAGCCUUACUCCUGCUGCGUUACUACUGACCCUCUCUGUUUCCUUCCUCGGAGAUCUUGCAGGAUACCUCUAAGAGAGGAAAACUAGAUCCCAGCAGAUACUCAUUUGGAACACUGGCAGGGAGAGGCUUAUCUUACCCCAAAGUAACCAGAAAACUCAGUACCUCAGAGAUCCUACUGAGCAUUUCCCCAAGCAGAGCACAGUGCCAGCAUUCUAACCACCAUUCCUCCCCAAAGCUCACAAAGUUCCCUAAGGCUGUGAGCUCAUAGCAGCCUCAGCGGAUGCUUGUGAACUUUAGGCCUAGUACACACAGGCCAUUCAAUCCCGUAACUCAUGACUACUGGCCAGUUCUGUACCAGACACUCCUCUAACCCCACUUAAUUUCUUGUUUUCAGCCUUUCUGUUUUCCAAACAAAGUGAUUACUAGUUUUCUACCCAUAGAACAAACCCCUCAGAUGAGUAAGUCUAGCUCUCUGUGUCGGAGACGUUGACUUGUGGGCCACCAAGGUUGUUUUUGGCUCCUGGUAGCACACUGUGGUGGCUAUAGAAGGCAGGGCUGUCACUCACCUCAUGGCCAGGAUGCAAAAGAAAAGAGAAAGAAACAGAGUCACAGAGUCCCACAGUUCAUCCAACAGCCCAUUCUCAAUGACCAAGGGAAGUCCCAGCAGACUUCACCUUAUGACACCAUCUCCCAAUAGGUCCACUGGGGACCAGACAUUUAAAAAA